Molecule: unclassified non-coding RNA, 196 nt
Filed under: uncultured fungus
Lineage: Eukaryota; Fungi
Description: sequence contains ITS1
Source: RNAcentral
UUAACUUAUUUGUAUAUUACUCGGACAACAUAAAAAUCAAGAGUUUAGGGUCCUCCGGCAGGCACGGACCAGCCUAGGCCAGUGGUCAUAAGACGGGCCUGCCAAAGCAACAAAGGUAAUGUAGACAAAGGGUGGGAGAUCUACCCUGGAGGGCAAUUUCUCUGUAAUGAUCCUUCCGCAGGUUCACCUACGGAAA